GAGCGCGCCCUUCGGGGUGAGCGGCGGACGGGUGAGUAACGCGUGGGAACGUGCCCUCUUCUGCGGGAUAGCCUCUGGAAACGGAGAGUAAUACCGCAUACGCCCUUUUGGGGAAAGAUUUAUCGGAGGAGGAUCGGCCCGCGUUGGAUUAGGUAGUUGGUGGGGUAAUGGCCUACCAAGCCGACGAUCCAUAGCUGGUUUUAGAGGAUGAUCAGCCACACUGGGACUGAGACACGGCCCAGACUCCUACGGGAGGCAGCAGUGGGGAAUCUUAGACAAUGGGCGCAAGCCUGAUCUAGCCAUGCCGCGUGAGUGACGAAGGCCCUAGGGUCGUAAAGCUCUUUCGCCUGUGAAGAUAAUGACGGUAGCAGGUAAAGAAACCCCGGCUAACUCCGUGCCAGCAGCCGCGGUAAUACGGAGGGGGUUAGCGUUGUUCGGAAUUACUGGGCGUAAAGCGCGCGUAGGCGGACCAUCAAGUUGGGGGUGAAAUCCCGGGGCUCAACCCCGGAACUGCCUCCAAAACUGGUGGUCUGGAGUUCGAGAGAGGUGAGUGGAAUUCCGAGUGUAGAGGUGAAAUUCGUAGAUAUUCGGAGGAACACCAGUGGCGAAGGCGGCUCACUGGCUCG
Molecule: ribosomal RNA, 626 nt
Filed under: uncultured bacterium
Lineage: Bacteria
Description: bacterial SSU rRNA
Rfam family: Bacterial small subunit ribosomal RNA
Source: RNAcentral